This 433-nucleotide ribosomal RNA is filed under the name uncultured bacterium. RNAcentral describes it as "partial 16S ribosomal RNA". It matches the Rfam family "Bacterial small subunit ribosomal RNA", at positions 29 to 507 of the family's 1533-position model. The record is from RNAcentral.
AACGAACGCUGGCGGCAUGCCUAACACAUGCAAGUCGAACGAGACCUUCGGGUCUAGUGGCGCACGGGUGCGUAACGCGUGGGAACCUGCCCUUAGGUUCGGAAUAACUCCCCGAAAGGGGUGCUAAUACCGGAUAAUGUCUUCGGACCAAAGAUUUAUCGCCUUUGGAUGGGCCCGCGUUGGAUUAGCUAGUUGGUAGGGUAAAAGCCUACCAAGGCGACGAUCCAUAGCUGGUCUGAGAGGAUGAUCAGCCACACUGGGACUGAGACACGGCCCAGACUUCCACGGGAGGCAGCAGUGGGGAAUAUUGGACAAUGGGCGAAAGCCUGAUCCAGCAAUGCCGCGUGAGUGAUGAAGGCCUUAGGGUUGUAAAGCUCUUUUACCCGGGAUGAUAAUGACAGUACCGGGAGAAUAAGCUCCGGCUAACUCCGUG